This 401-nucleotide ribosomal RNA is filed under the name uncultured bacterium. RNAcentral's name for it is "bacterial SSU rRNA". It matches the Rfam family "Bacterial small subunit ribosomal RNA", at positions 359 to 776 of the family's 1533-position model. The record is from RNAcentral.
GAAUUUUCCACAAUGGGGGCAACCCUGAUGGAGCAACGCCGCGUGCAGGAGGAAGGCCUUCGGGUUGUAAACUGCUUUUAUCUGUGAUGAUUAUGACAGUAGCAGAAGAAUAAGGAUCGGCUAACUCCGUGCCAGCAGCCGCGGUCAAACGGAGGAUCCAAGCGUUAUCCGGAAUUACUGGGCGUAAAGAGUUGCGUAGGUGGCAUAGAAAGCAAGCAGUGAAAGCCCACGGCUCAACCGUGGAAACAUUGUUUGAACUCCUAAGCUAGAGCACGAGAGAGGUAACUGGAAUUCCCAGUGUAGGAGUGAAAUCCGUAGAUAUUGGGAGGAACACCGAUGGCGUAGGCAGGUUACUGGCUCGUUGCUGACACUAAGGCACGAAAGCGUGGGGAGCGAACGGG